CCUACGGGCGGCAGCAGUGGGGAAUAUUGCACAAUGGGGGAAACCCUGAUGCAGCGACGCCGCGUGAGUGAAGAAGUAAUUCGUUAUGUAAAGCUCUAUCAGCAGGGAAGAAAAUGACGGUACCUGAGUAAUAAGCCACGGCCGACUACGUGCCAGCCGCCGCGGGUAUGCGUCGGGGGCAAGCGUUAUCCGGAUUUACUGGGUGUAAAGGGAGCGUAGACGGCAGUGCAAGUCUGGAGUGAAAGGCGGGGGCUCAACCCCAGGACUGCUCUGGAAACUGUAAGGCUGGAGUGCAGGAGAGGUAAGUGGAAGUCCUAGUGUAGCGGUGAAAUGCGUAGAUAUUAGGAGGAACACCAGUGGCGAAGGCGGCUUACUGGACUGUAACUGACGUUGCGGCUCGAAAGCGUGGGGAGCAAACAGGAUUAGAUACCCUAGUAGUC
This 440-nucleotide ribosomal RNA is filed under the name uncultured bacterium. Its description in RNAcentral is "partial 16S ribosomal RNA". It matches the Rfam family "Bacterial small subunit ribosomal RNA", at positions 338 to 795 of the family's 1533-position model. The record is from RNAcentral.